Molecule: ribosomal RNA, 301 nt
Filed under: uncultured bacterium
Lineage: Bacteria
Description: partial 16S ribosomal RNA
Rfam family: Bacterial small subunit ribosomal RNA
Source: RNAcentral
CAGUAGCCACGGGAAUACGAAGGGGGCUAGCGUUGUUCGGAUUUACUGGGCGUAAAGCGCACGUAGGCGGACCGAUCAGUCAGGGGUGAAAUCCCAGAGCUCAACUCUGGAACUGCCUUUGAUACUGUCGAUCUGGAGUAUGGAAGAGGUGAGUGGAAUUCCGAGUGUAGAGGUGAAAUUCGUAGAUAUUCGGAGGAACACCAGUGGCGAAGGCGGCUCACUGGUCCAUUACUGACGCUGAGGUGCGAAAGCGUGGGGAGCAAACAGGAUUAGAUACCCCGGUAGUCCCUGUCUCUUAUAC